Molecule: ribosomal RNA, 505 nt
Filed under: uncultured Glomeromycotina
Lineage: Eukaryota; Fungi; Glomeromycota
Description: SSU rRNA
Rfam family: Eukaryotic small subunit ribosomal RNA
Source: RNAcentral
AGCAGCCGCGGUAAUUCCAGCUCCAAUAGCGUAUAUUAAAGUUGUUGCAGUUAAAAAGCUCGUAGUUGAAUUUCGGGAUUAGUACGUUGGUCGUGCCUUCGGUACGUACUGGUGUUACUGAUUCCUACCUUCUGACGAACUAUCAUGUCAUUAAUUUGGUGUGGUGGGGAAUCAGGACUGUUACUUUGAAAAAAUUAGAGUGUUUAAAGCAGGCUCGCGCUUGAAUACAUUAGCAUGGAAUAAUGAAAUAGGACGUUGACCCUAUUUUGUUGGUUUCUAGGAUUGACGUAAUGAUUAAUAGGGAUAGUUGGGGGCGUUAGUAUUCAAUUGUCAGAGGUGAAAUUCUUGGAUUUAUUGAAGACUAACUACUGCGAAAGCAUUUGCCAAGGAUGUUUUCAUUAAUCAAGAACGAAAGUUAGGGGAUCGAAGACGAUCAGAUACCGUCGUAGUCUUAACCAUAAACUAUGCCGACUAGGGAUNGGAUGAUGUUAUUUUUAAUGACUCA